CGCCGCCGCGGGAAUACAGAGGGUGCGAGCGUUAAUCGGAUUUACUGGGCGUAAAGCGUGCGUAGGCGGCUUUUUAAGUCGGAUGUGAAAUCCCUGAGCUUAACUUAGGAAUUGCAUUCGAUACUGGGAAGCUAGAGUAUGGGAGAGGAUGGUAGAAUUCCAGGUGUAGCGGUGAAAUGCGUAGAGAUCUGGAGGAAUACCGAUGGCGAAGGCAGCCAUCUGGCCUAAUACUGACGCUGAGGUACGAAAGCAUGGGGAGCAAACAGGAUUAGAUACCCGGGUAGUCCCUGUCUCUUAUACA
This 301-nucleotide ribosomal RNA is filed under the name uncultured bacterium. Its description in RNAcentral is "partial 16S ribosomal RNA". It matches the Rfam family "Bacterial small subunit ribosomal RNA", at positions 510 to 808 of the family's 1533-position model. The record is from RNAcentral.